CUCUCAGGAGGUUAAAUGCCCUAGUAUGAGUGUAUUAAAAAUGAAAUUGAUUCGGUCCGCACCGGUUCAGAUUCAAUAUCCGAUGAUUCAGUUACAUUGUUUCCGAUGCUUUUCCUCUUUUAAUCGCGCAUGCGCAUCAGCUUUCACUCUGCAGCAACACUUCUAAGCGAAAUAUUGAUAUGGUGCUAAUUAAUGGACACUUACAUAGAUCUCUGCCAAUCGUUCGGUGUGCCCCUCUGGGUGGGGCCGUUGCUCCACGCGGUCUCCAGGCUGAAGACGACAGACCGGAUCAAACGAAGAAAAGUUUACCGUUUAAUCCAGCGUCAGUUACUGAACAGGAUCGGCUGUAGCACACGUGUCAAACCCACUUACGUGUACCCAGCUGAGCUCAAAGAGAUGGUCCGAGCAGCCUUUCCAAAAGACAUCUGUGACUAUGACGACCCCUGUCACGAAAAUGUGAGAGGAAUACAGUUAAAGGGAUAGUUCACCCAAAAAUGAAAAGGUGAUGCCUAUCUGCU
This 518-nucleotide long non-coding RNA is filed under the name Sinocyclocheilus grahami. RNAcentral's name for it is "lncRNA (ENSSGRG00000037626.1)". The record is from RNAcentral. Lineage: Eukaryota; Metazoa; Chordata; Actinopteri; Cypriniformes; Cyprinidae.